UACAAUUAAAGCUAGUACUCUUAGCUAGUUUGUGCAAUUGGUGUUACAUCUAUAGUUCAAAAUUUGAUAAUGCUUGAUUGAUUGGAUGUUCCAAGUGUGCAUAAAAUUUGGUAUUAAUCUAAUAGUGCAAUUGAGAGAUAUCUAAUUUUUGAUGCAAGAAGAUAUUAAAAGUUGGCAGUUUGAGGUUGAGUAGGAUUUCUCUAUUACAUGAAGAUCUUUCAAUCGAAAUAAGGUAAAAUUUGGCAUGGUUUUAGAAGACUUAAAGAUCAAGCUAUAUACCAAUUUUAAGCUAAAUUUAAUAGUUAAAGAAAGAAUAAACACUAUUAGAAUAUCUAUAGCAACUUUUGAAUUGGCAACCAAGUGAUAUUAGUGUGGUUUUUUGGACAUU
This 388-nucleotide long non-coding RNA is filed under the name Physcomitrium patens. RNAcentral describes it as "long non-coding RNA (PPAT_LNC006827)". Lineage: Eukaryota; Viridiplantae; Streptophyta; Bryopsida; Funariales; Funariaceae. The record is from RNAcentral.